This 83-nucleotide transfer RNA is filed under the name Babesia gibsoni. RNAcentral describes it as "tRNA-Tyr". It matches the Rfam family "tRNA". From Rfam's summary of the family: Transfer RNA (tRNA) molecules are approximately 80 nucleotides in length. Their secondary structure includes four short double-helical elements and three loops (D, anti-codon, and T loops). Lineage: Eukaryota; Apicomplexa; Aconoidasida; Piroplasmida; Babesiidae. The record is from RNAcentral.
AAGUAAGUACCUAAGCGGAUAAAAGGAAUAGAUUGUAGAUCUGUUGAUUAAAUUCUACAUCAGUUCGAAUCUGAUCUUACUUA